GACGAACGCUGGCGGCGCGCCUAACACAUGCAAGUCGAACGGAGCUGUGAGAAGCUUGCUCUUCUUAGCUCAGUGGCGAACGGGUGAGUAACGCGUGAGUAACCUGCCCUGGAGUGGGGGACAACAGUUGGAAACGACUGCUAAUACCGCAUAAGCUCACGAUCCGGCAUCGGCUUGAGGGAAAAGGAUUUAUUCGCUUCAGGAUGGACUCGCGUCCGAUUAGCCAGUUGGUGAGGUAACGGCCCACCAAGGCGACGAUUGGUAGCCGGACGGAGAGGUUGACCGGCCACACUGGGACUGAGACACGGCCCAGACUCCUACGGGAGGCAGCAGUGGGGGAUAUUGCACAAUGGGGGAAACCCUGAUGCAGCGACGCCGCGUGGAGGAAGAAGGUCUUAGGAUUGUAAACUCCUGUUGUUAGGGACGAUAAUGACGGUACCUAAAAAGUAAGCACCGGCUAACUACGUG
RNAcentral lists this ribosomal RNA (468 nucleotides) under uncultured bacterium. RNAcentral's name for it is "partial 16S ribosomal RNA". It matches the Rfam family "Bacterial small subunit ribosomal RNA", at positions 28 to 507 of the family's 1533-position model. The record is from RNAcentral.